Small nucleolar RNA from Oryctolagus cuniculus (rabbit), 87 nucleotides. Its record names the gene U3. It matches the Rfam family "Small nucleolar RNA U3". From Rfam's summary of the family: Small nucleolar RNAs (snoRNAs) are involved in the processing and modification of rRNA in the nucleolus. There are two main classes of snoRNAs: the box C/D class, and the box H/ACA class. The record is from Ensembl. Lineage: Eukaryota; Metazoa; Chordata; Mammalia; Lagomorpha; Leporidae.
AAGACUAUACUUUCAGGGAUCAUUUCUAUAGUUUGCUACUAAAUAAGAUACCAUCAAAAUAUCAUCCGUUUCUUUUUAAUCAACAGA